RNAcentral lists this ribosomal RNA (2773 nucleotides) under Escherichia coli. RNAcentral's name for it is "bacterial LSU rRNA". It matches the Rfam family "Bacterial large subunit ribosomal RNA". Lineage: Bacteria; Pseudomonadati; Pseudomonadota; Gammaproteobacteria; Enterobacterales; Enterobacteriaceae. The record is from RNAcentral.
AGCGUACACGGUGGAUGCCCUGGCAGUCAGAGGCGAUGAAGGACGUGCUAAUCUGCGAUAAGCGUCGGUAAGGUGAUAUGAACCGUUAUAACCGGCGAUUUCCGAAUGGGGAAACCCAGUGUGAUUCGUCACACUAUCAUUAACUGAAUCCAUAGGUUAAUGAGGCGAACCGGGGGAACUGAAACAUCUAAGUACCCCGAGGAAAAGAAAUCAACCGAGAUUCCCCCAGUAGCGGCGAGCGAACGGGGAGCAGCCCAGAGCCUGAAUCAGUGUGUGUGUUAGUGGAAGCGUCUGGAAAGGCGCGCGAUACAGGGUGACAGCCCCGUACACAAAAAUGCACAUGCUGUGAGCUCGAUGAGUAGGGCGGGACACGUGGUAUCCUGUCUGAAUAUGGGGGGACCAUCCUCCAAGGCUAAAUACUCCUGACUGACCGAUAGUGAACCAGUACCGUGAGGGAAAGGCGAAAAGAACCCCGGCGAGGGGAGUGAAAAAGAACCUGAAACCGUGUACGUACAAGCAGUGGGAGCACGCUUAGGCGUGUGACUGCGUACCUUUUGUAUAAUGGGUCAGCGACUUAUAUUCUGUAGCAAGGUUAACCGAAUAGGGGAGCCGAAGGGAAACCGAGUCUUAACUGGGCGUUAAGUUGCAGGGUAUAGACCCGAAACCCGGUGAUCUAGCCAUGGGCAGGUUGAAGGUUGGGUAACACUAACUGGAGGACCGAACCGACUAAUGUUGAAAAAUUAGCGGAUGACUUGUGGCUGGGGGUGAAAGGCCAAUCAAACCGGGAGAUAGCUGGUUCUCCCCGAAAGCUAUUUAGGUAGCGCCUCGUGAAUUCAUCUCCGGGGGUAGAGCACUGUUUCGGCAAGGGGGUCAUCCCGACUUACCAACCCGAUGCAAACUGCGAAUACCGGAGAAUGUUAUCACGGGAGACACACGGCGGGUGCUAACGUCCGUCGUGAAGAGGGAAACAACCCAGACCGCCAGCUAAGGUCCCAAAGUCAUGGUUAAGUGGGAAACGAUGUGGGAAGGCCCAGACAGCCAGGAUGUUGGCUUAGAAGCAGCCAUCAUUUAAAGAAAGCGUAAUAGCUCACUGGUCGAGUCGGCCUGCGCGGAAGAUGUAACGGGGCUAAACCAUGCACCGAAGCUGCGGCAGCGACGCUUAUGCGUUGUUGGGUAGGGGAGCGUUCUGUAAGCCUGUGAAGGUGUACUGUGAGGUAUGCUGGAGGUAUCAGAAGUGCGAAUGCUGACAUAAGUAACGAUAAAGCGGGUGAAAAGCCCGCUCGCCGGAAGACCAAGGGUUCCUGUCCAACGUUAAUCGGGGCAGGGUGAGUCGACCCCUAAGGCGAGGCCGAAAGGCGUAGUCGAUGGGAAACAGGUUAAUAUUCCUGUACUUGGUGUUACUGCGAAGGGGGGACGGAGAAGGCUAUGUUGGCCGGGCGACGGUUGUCCCGGUUUAAGCGUGUAGGCUGGUUUUCCAGGCAAAUCCGGAAAAUCAAGGCUGAGGCGUGAUGACGAGGCACUACGGUGCUGAAGCAACAAAUGCCCUGCUUCCAGGAAAAGCCUCUAAGCAUCAGGUAACAUCAAAUCGUACCCCAAACCGACACAGGUGGUCAGGUAGAGAAUACCAAGGCGCUUGAGAGAACUCGGGUGAAGGAACUAGGCAAAAUGGUGCCGUAACUUCGGGAGAAGGCACGCUGAUAUGUAGGUGAAGUCCCUCGCGGAUGGAGCUGAAAUCAGUCGAAGAUACCAGCUGGCUGCAACUGUUUAUUAAAAACACAGCACUGUGCAAACACGAAAGUGGACGUAUACGGUGUGACGCCUGCCCGGUGCCGGAAGGUUAAUUGAUGGGGUCAGCGCAAGCGAAGCUCUUGAUCGAAGCCCCGGUAAACGGCGGCCGUAACUAUAACGGUCCUAAGGUAGCGAAAUUCCUUGUCGGGUAAGUUCCGACCUGCACGAAUGGCGUAAUGAUGGCCAGGCUGUCUCCACCCGAGACUCAGUGAAAUUGAACUCGCUGUGAAGAUGCAGUGUACCCGCGGCAAGACGGAAAGACCCCGUGAACCUUUACUAUAGCUUGACACUGAACAUUGAGCCUUGAUGUGUAGGAUAGGUGGGAGGCUUUGAAGUGUGGACGCCAGUCUGCAUGGAGCCGACCUUGAAAUACCACCCUUUAAUGUUUGAUGUUCUAACGUUGACCCGUGAUCCGGGUUGCGGACAGUGUCUGGUGGGUAGUUUGACUGGGGCGGUCUCCUCCUAAAGAGUAACGGAGGAGCACGAAGGUUGGCUAAUCCUGGUCGGACAUCAGGAGGUUAGUGCAAUGGCAUAAGCCAGCUUGACUGCGAGCGUGACGGCGCGAGCAGGUGCGAAAGCAGGUCAUAGUGAUCCGGUGGUUCUGAAUGGAAGGGCCAUCGCUCAACGGAUAAAAGGUACUCCGGGGAUAACAGGCUGAUACCGCCCAAGAGUUCAUAUCGACGGCGGUGUUUGGCACCUCGAUGUCGGCUCAUCACAUCCUGGGGCUGAAGUAGGUCCCAAGGGUAUGGCUGUUCGCCAUUUAAAGUGGUACGCGAGCUGGGUUUAGAACGUCGUGAGACAGUUCGGUCCCUAUCUGCCGUGGGCGCUGGAGAACUGAGGGGGGCUGCUCCUAGUACGAGAGGACCGGAGUGGACGCAUCACUGGUGUUCGGGUUGUCAUGCCAAUGGCACUGCCCGGUAGCUAAAUGCGGAAGAGAUAAGUGCUGAAAGCAUCUAAGCACGAAACUUGCCCCGAGAUGAGUUCU